RNAcentral lists this small nuclear RNA (150 nucleotides) under Ursus americanus (American black bear). RNAcentral's name for it is "U2 spliceosomal RNA (ENSUAMG00000018905.1)". It matches the Rfam family "U2 spliceosomal RNA", at positions 34 to 185 of the family's 192-position model. Rfam says of the family: U2 is a small nuclear RNA (snRNA) component of the spliceosome (involved in pre-mRNA splicing). The record is from RNAcentral. Lineage: Eukaryota; Metazoa; Chordata; Mammalia; Carnivora; Ursidae.
UAAAAUCUGUUCUUAUCAGUUUAAUAUCUGAUGCAUCCUCUAGCCAAGGACAGUAUUUUAAAUGGAUUUUUGGAACUAGGAGGUGGAAUAGGAGCUUGCUCCCUCCACUCCACACAUCGACCGGGUAUUGUAGUGCUUCCAGGACACUGC